This 450-nucleotide ribosomal RNA is filed under the name uncultured bacterium. RNAcentral's name for it is "bacterial SSU rRNA". It matches the Rfam family "Bacterial small subunit ribosomal RNA", at positions 29 to 524 of the family's 1533-position model. The record is from RNAcentral.
AACGAACGCUGGCGGCAGGCUUAACACAUGCAAGUCGAGCGAGGUCUUCGGACCUAGCGGCGGACGGGUGAGUAACGCGUGGGAACGUGCCCUUUGCUACGGAAUAGUCCCGGGAAACUGGGUUUAAUACCGUAUGUGCCCUACGGGGGAAAGAUUUAUCGGCAAAGGAUCGGCCCGCGUUGGAUUAGGUAGUUGGUGGGGUAAUGGCCUACCAAGCCGACGAUCCAUAGCUGGUUUGAGAGGAUGAUCAGCCACACUGGGACUGAGACACGGCCCAGACUCCUACGGGAGGCAGCAGUGGGGAAUCUUAGACAAUGGGGGCAACCCUGAUCUAGCCAUGCCGCGUGAGUGAUGAAGGCCCUAGGGUUGUAAAGCUCUUUCAGCUGGGAAGAUAAUGACGGUACCAGCAGAAGAAGCCCCGGCUAACUCCGUGCCAGCAGCCGCGGUAAU